Long non-coding RNA from Selaginella moellendorffii, 184 nucleotides. RefSeq lists it as uncharacterized. The record is from RefSeq and is a predicted model, not a curated record. The transcript has 3 exons. Lineage: Eukaryota; Viridiplantae; Streptophyta; Lycopodiopsida; Selaginellales; Selaginellaceae.
CUGAUCACGGUGGUCUGGUUGCUCUCUACAACUUUGAGAAGAAACAUGCUUACCAGCUGCUGCUAAACUGCCUCAAGCACAUUGAUAAAGGAUAUGACAAGCGCAAGCUAUUGUGGUCGUCCUUCGAGAACCAGCAGUUCUACACUGUCGAUGUGCAAGUGCCGGGUCUCUCGUCGCUGGAUCA